ACUCAAAUGAAUAGACGGGGGCCCGCACAAGCGGUGGAGCAUGUGGCUUAAUUCGACGCAACGCGAAGAACCUUACCAGGUCUUGACAUCCCCUGACAGGCUGGGAAACCAGCCCUUCCGCAAGGACAGGGUGACAGGUGGUGCAUGGCUGUCGUCAGCUCGUGUCGUGAGAUGUUGGGUUAAGUCCCGCAACGAGCGCAACCCUCAUUGUUACUUACCAGCGGGUCAUGCCGGGGACUGUAACGAAACUGCCCGUGUAAACGGGAGGAAGGUGGGGAUGACGUCAAGUCAGCAUGCCCCUUACGACCUGGGCUGCACACAUGCUACAAUGGCCGGUACAAAGGGCUGCGAUACCGCGAGGUGGAGCGAAUCCCAAAAAACCGGUCUUAGUUCGGAUCGCAGGCUGCAACUCGCCUGCGUGAAGCUGGAAUCGCUAGUAACCGCCGGUCAGCAUUACGGCGGUGAAUACGUUCCCGGGCCUUGUACACACCGCCCGU
This 497-nucleotide ribosomal RNA is filed under the name uncultured bacterium. RNAcentral describes it as "partial 16S ribosomal RNA". It matches the Rfam family "Bacterial small subunit ribosomal RNA", at positions 899 to 1397 of the family's 1533-position model. The record is from RNAcentral.